RNA transcript from Physeter macrocephalus (sperm whale), 2684 nucleotides. It is a transcript of the gene named potassium voltage-gated channel subfamily A member 7, with no coding region annotated. The transcript has 6 exons. Lineage: Eukaryota; Metazoa; Chordata; Mammalia; Artiodactyla; Physeteridae. The record is from RefSeq and is a predicted model, not a curated record.
UCGGGCGUCGGGGCCACACGUCCGUCCGCGGGUCGCCGGGGCUGCGCGCGCCAUGGAACCCGGGUGCCCGCCGCCGUGCGCCUGCUGCGAGCGAGUGGUGCUCAACGUGGCUGGGCUGCGCUUCGAGACCCGGGCGCGCACGCUGGGCCGCUUUCCGGACACGCUGCUCGGGGACCCGGUGCGCCGCAGCCGUUUCUACGACGGCGCGCGCCGCGAGUACUUCUUCGACCGGCACCGGCCCAGCUUCGACGCGGUGCUCUAUUACUACCAGUCGGGCGGGCGCCUGCGCCGGCCGGCGCACGUGCCGCUCGACGUCUUCCUGGAGGAGGUGGCCUUCUAUGGGCUGGGCGCCGCGGCGCUAGCGCGCCUGCGCGAGGAUGAGGGCUGCCCCUUGCCAUCGGAGCGCCCCCUGCCCCGCCGCGCCUUCGCGCGCCAGCUCUGGCUGCUCUUCGAGUUCCCCGAGAGCUCGCAGGCCGCGCGCGUGCUCGCCGUUGUCUCAGUGCUCGUCAUCCUCGUCUCCAUCGUCGUCUUCUGCCUCGAGACGCUGCCCGACUUCCGCGACGACCGCGACAACUCGGGGCUCGCCGCGGUGGCUGCCGCUGGCCCGUUUCCGGCUCGGCUGAACGGCUCCAGCCCAAUGCCUGGACCCCCACCUCGCUCGCCCUUCGAUGACCCGUUCUUUGUGGUGGAGACGCUGUGCAUCUGUUGGUUCUCCUUCGAGCUGCUGGUGCGCCUGGCGGCCUGCCCAAGCAAGACAGCCUUCUUCAAGAACGUGAUGAACCUCAUCGAUUUCGUGGCCAUCCUGCCGUACUUUGUGGCGCUGGGCGCUGAGCUGGCCCGGCAGCGGGGGGUGGGCCAGCCAGCCAUGUCACUGGCCACCCUGCGAGUCAUCCGACUGGUACGCGUCUUCCGCAUCUUCAAGCUGUCCCGGCACUCAAAGGGCCUGCAGAUCUUGGGCCAGACCUUCAGAGCCUCCAUGCGAGAGCUGGGCCUCCUCAUCUUCUUCCUUUUCAUUGGUGUGGUCCUCUUCUCCAGCGCGGUCUACUUUGCUGAGGCCGACCGGGCAGAAUCCCAUUUCACCAGCAUCCCUGAGUCCUUCUGGUGGGCGGUGGUCACCAUGACCACAGUUGGCUAUGGAGACAUGGCACCCGUCACUGUGGGCGGCAAGAUAGUGGGCUCUCUGUGCGCCAUCGCCGGCGUGCUGACCAUUUCCCUACCUGUGCCGGUCAUUGUCUCCAACUUCAGCUACUUUUACCACCGGGAGACAGACAACGAAGAGGCCGGGAUGUACAGCCACGUGGACACGCAGCCCUGUUGCCCACUGGAGGGCAAGGUGCUCAGCGAGAUGCCACCCCACCCCUCAGGCUCCCUCCCCAUCCUCCUACUUUUCCUCCUCCCCAGUGUCCCAAUGGAGCCCCACGCCUCACCCUCACCCCUGCCCCCAUUUCCAGUCCCCGAGUGGGACCUCUUGUCCCCCCGAGUAGCCCUGUCCAGGGGUACCCCCGCUGGGCCCCCUCUGCUCUUCCUGCUGGAGGCUGGAGCCUUUGGGGAGCCAGUUGGCAGCCCGGCCAACCGCAGUCGGCGGGGGUCCACGGUCGCGGAGCCCCUGCCCCCGGCCGCAAAGCAGGAUUUGCAUAUUCGGGCUUUCGACGAGGUCACCAGCAUUUGGGAGACAACCUCGGCCUCGGCUCACGUGCCCAAGACCCACGGCGGGCCCUACGCGCAGCCCAAGGCCCCAGAACCCGCGGACCGCACGCGGACUGUGGGGACCAAGGAUGUAGCGGAAAAACUCAGGCACCGCGGCUGGCGCCUCCCUCUGAUCACAAAGCACCAGUGCAGUGAGACGAGGGCGCAGUACACCGGCUGGCCCAGCCUGGACCGGGGCGCCACCUCCUUCAUCGGGCCCCAGCCCCUGGAGCUUGCGGACCACAACCGAGGGGGCCCUUCCCAGGUAGCGGAGAAGACCGCAGUGGCAGGAGCUGGCAGAGCUUUGAGACCCUGGGGCGAGGUCUGAGGGAAUUUUGAGUCUGGGGUCUAAAGAGUGGGACAGAAUCUGGAGGUUACAUAGAGCGGGGAAGGGGCUUAGGCCUUUUGAGGCGGAGCCAGGAGGAGGAGGGGACUGGAAGCCUGAAAUCCCAGCUCGGAGGCCGGGGGAACAGCUAGUAAAUCCUGGGGCGGGCCUAGGAGGCGGUUCUGAGGCUGCGGGCGGAGCUAGGUAGCCUAAUGUACGUGUGGGCGGAGCUUGAAUAUUCUGAGGCCGGUCUGGGGCGGAAGGCGGGGCUGGCUGCCCCUGUUAGGGUGGUGUGAGGAGUAAUAGUCGCCCGAGGCGCAGCUGAAUUCCAGGGGCGGGACCGAGAAGGUUGGAAUCUAGGGGAGGAGCAGGGAAGGUUUUUUAGUGACUGGGUGCUUGGCUUUGUGUCCGACGACGGGCAGAAAGUAUUUGGAUUUUGGAGGUGAGGCUAGUAAGGGUUCUGAUUUGGAGAGCGAAGCUGAAGUGCACUGGCGUGCAACUGGCCAGGAAGGAUCCUGAUUCUGGGGGCGGGUGUCGGCCUGGUUCAGAGGCGCAGGUGAGGCCGAAGGAAGAGGAAUUCCGUCUGGGACACAGGGCAUGAAAAAGGAUGUGUCCUCGAGGAUCUGUCUAGCUGUGCCCUCCCCAUCGCGCCUCCACCCCAACCCCCGACAGG